UACAGAGGUCUCAAGCGUUGUUCGGAUUCAUUGGGCGUAAAGCGCGCGCAGGCGGUCCUUUAAGUCUGAUGUGAAAGCCCACGGCUCAACCGUGGAAGGUCAUUGGAAACUGGAGGACUUGAGUACAGAAGAGGAAAGCGGAAUUCCACGUGUAGCGGUGAAAUGCGUAGAGAUGUGGAGGAACACCAGUGGCGAAGGCGGCUUUCUGGUCUGUAACUGACGCUGAGGCGCGAAAGCGUGGGGAGCAAACAGG
This 253-nucleotide ribosomal RNA is filed under the name uncultured bacterium. RNAcentral describes it as "partial 16S ribosomal RNA". It matches the Rfam family "Bacterial small subunit ribosomal RNA", at positions 524 to 776 of the family's 1533-position model. The record is from RNAcentral.